GGUCCCGUGGUCCAGCGGCCCACGACUCUCGGCUUACAUCCGAGCAACGAAGGUUCGAUUCCUUCCGGGACUA
RNAcentral lists this transfer RNA (73 nucleotides) under Planctomycetales bacterium. RNAcentral's name for it is "tRNA-Val". It matches the Rfam family "tRNA". Rfam says of the family: Transfer RNA (tRNA) molecules are approximately 80 nucleotides in length. Their secondary structure includes four short double-helical elements and three loops (D, anti-codon, and T loops). Further hydrogen bonds mediate the characteristic L-shaped molecular structure. tRNAs have two regions of fundamental functional importance: the anti-codon, which is responsible for specific mRNA codon recognition, and the 3' end, to which the tRNAs corresponding amino acid is attached (by aminoacyl-tRNA synthetases). tRNAs cope with the degeneracy of the genetic code in two manners: having more than one tRNA (with a specific anti-codon) for a particular amino acid; and 'wobble' base-pairing, i.e. permitting non-standard base-pairing at the 3rd anti-codon position. Lineage: Bacteria; Pseudomonadati; Planctomycetota; Planctomycetia; Planctomycetales. The record is from RNAcentral.